GGUGAGGCGUUAACAGUGGGCGGGCGUGGCUCGGGCUCGAGGGCGUGGCUCAGGCUCGUGGAGGCGUCCGAGCUCCAGGGCAGCUCUGGGGCAGAACUGUCCGGAUCUAACAAUCCCUGGGGAGCCGGAGACCGGUGACUGCCGCCCUGCCCGCAGGCCAUGUGGCCCCCGCUGUUGCUGCUGCUGCUGCUGCUCCCGGCCGCCCCGGUCCCCACCGCCAAAGCCGCUCCCCACCCGGAUGCUAACACCCAGGAAGGCCUUCAGAACCUGCUCCAAGGAGUCGGGGCUGGCGGAGACGGAGAGCUGCGGGCAGACUCACACCUGGCCCCGGGCUCUGGCUGUAUUGAUGGGGCUGUGGUGGCCACGCGACCAGAAAGCCGGGGAGGAAGACCUGCGGUUCCGUGAGAGGCGUCCAGGGCUGCAGGCCACGGCGACAGGCUCCGGGGAACAUGGGGCUUUCCCUGUCCACUCCCAAGGAGUGUGGGCCUCAACGCAUUGGCAGGGGACGGCCGUGUGCCCUCUCCAGACCCCACCCCCAGAUGCAUUUAUUAGAAAUAAUAAAGUUCUUUCUUAGCUAGAAAAAAAAAAAAAAAAAAAAA
This 599-nucleotide long non-coding RNA is filed under the name Homo sapiens (human). RNAcentral describes it as "RBAK downstream neighbor (RBAKDN)". Lineage: Eukaryota; Metazoa; Chordata; Mammalia; Primates; Hominidae. The record is from RNAcentral.